AUACGUAGGGCGCGAGCGUUGUCCGGAAUUACUGGGAGUAAAGGGAGCGUAGGCGAGAUGGCAAGUCAGAUGUGAAAACUAUGGGCUCAACCCAUAGACUGCAUUUGAAACUGUUGUUCUUGAGUGAAGUAGAGGUAAGCGGAAUUCCUGGUGUAGCGGUGAAAUGCGUAGAUAUCAGGAGGAACACCGGUGGCGAAGGCGGCUUACUGGGCUUUUACUGACGCUGAGGCUCGAAAGCGUGGGGAGCAAACAGGAUUAGAUACCCUGGUAGUCCACGCUGUAAACGAUGAUUACUAGGUGUGGGGGGACUGACCCCUUCCGUGCCGCAGUUAACACAAUAAGUAAUCCACCUGGGGAGUACGGCCGCAAGGUUGAAACU
This 379-nucleotide ribosomal RNA is filed under the name uncultured bacterium. RNAcentral describes it as "partial 16S ribosomal RNA". It matches the Rfam family "Bacterial small subunit ribosomal RNA", at positions 523 to 901 of the family's 1533-position model. The record is from RNAcentral.